Molecule: RNA transcript, 4322 nt
Organism: Apis dorsata (giant honeybee)
Lineage: Eukaryota; Metazoa; Arthropoda; Insecta; Hymenoptera; Apidae
Gene: SA1
Gene name: cohesin subunit SA-1
Exons: 20
Source: RefSeq, a predicted model, not a curated record
UAUUUAUAUUUCCUGACUCGUUUCGUUGGAUACAUAUAUAUUUCUGUAGUAUGUAAUCCAUAAUCCGGUAUUAUAAUCGAAUGCUUAUCUAAUAACUGGCUGAGAAAUUGAAUGAACGAAGAAGAAUUAAUGCAAAAUAAAAUAUAUAUUUUAAUAAAAUAUUGAUUUUUAUGUGUGCGUUCUUUAUUGCAUUUUUUAUAUAUAAUGGCUAAAAUUUUUUUAAUUUUUAGUGAUAAUAAUGCAUUCUAAAGUUUCUGUCCCGCCUAAAUGGUUAUCACGUGCAUGUGUUUACAGCUACUGUUUCUAUUCGUUUGACGGACUAUGGAUGAAGUCAACAUGGUGUCAUAUCCUGAACAUUAUUCAUCCGAAAGCUAUAGCUCUCCAAGUACAUCACAACCACAAUAUCAAGAACAAACAAGUUUUGAAAAUCAAUCCCAAUUUGAACAACCUAUGACACCAGCAACUCCAACUAAUAUGAGGAUUACAAGAAAUACACGAGCUAGAUUACGUGGAGGACCAAUACAGCAACCAAAAUAUAAAGAAAUAGAUACAGAUUAUAUUCCAACUAUUAGUAGUACUAGAGGAAGAGGAAGUAGUGGACGAGGACGUGGAAAACGAACACAUCAUUCACAUAGUUUAGAAGAUGAAGCUAGUCUUUAUUAUGUCAUUAGAAACAAUCGGUCUUCAUUAACUACUAUUGUUGAUGAUUGGAUAGAAAAGUAUAAAAGUAAUAGAGAAAAUGCUCUCCUUAUGUUAAUGCAAUUUUUUAUCAAUGCAAGUGGAUGUAAAGGACGUAUCACAUCUGAAAUGCAAACAACAAUGGAACAUGUAGCAAUAAUUCGUAAAAUGACUGAAGAAUUUGAUGAAGAAAGUGGAGAAUAUCCAUUGAUAAUGACUGGUCAACAAUGGAAAAAAUUUCGUGCAAAUUUCUGUGAAUUUGUUCAAAUUUUAGUUCGACAAUGUCAAUAUUCAAUCAUUUAUGAUCAAUUUUUGAUGGAUAAUGUAAUUUCAUUAUUAACUGGUCUUUCAGAUUCACAAGUAAGAGCUUUUAGACAUACUGCUACACUUGCGGCUAUGAAACUCAUGACAGCAUUAGUAGAUGUUGCUUUAACUGUAUCGAUAAAUUUAGAUAAUACACAACGGCAAUAUGAAGCUGAAAGACAAAAAGCUAGAGAAAAAAGAGCUGCAGAUAGAUUAGAAUCAUUAAUGGCCAAACGAAAAGAACUUGAAGAAAAUAUGGAUGAGAUAAAAAAUAUGCUUACAUAUAUGUUUAAAUCUGUAUUUGUACAUCGUUACAGGGAUACAUUACCAGAAAUUCGCGCAAUUUGUAUGGCAGAAAUAGGAGUAUGGAUGAAAAAAUUUCAUCAAAAUUUUUUAGAUGAUUCUUAUUUAAAAUAUAUAGGUUGGACAUUACAUGAUAAAGUUGGUGAAGUUCGACUAAAAUGUCUUCAAGCUUUGCAACCACUAUAUGCAUCAGAAGAAUUGAAAACUAAACUUGAACUUUUUACUAGUAAAUUUAAAGAUAGAAUUGUUGCCAUGACAUUGGAUAAAGAAUAUGAUGUAGCAGUACAAGCAGUUAAACUUGUUAUUUCAAUUUUAAAACAUCAUAGAGAAAUUCUUACUGAUAAAGAUUGUGAACAUGUAUAUGAACUUGUUUAUUCAUCACAUCGUGCAGUUGCACAGGCAGCGGGUGAAUUUUUAAAUGAACGGUUAUUUCGCCCUGAUGAUGAAGCAGUAGCAGGUGUGAAAACUAAACGUGGAAAAAAACGUUUGCCAAAUACUCCUCUUAUUCGAGAUCUUGUUCUAUUUUUUAUUGAAUCUGAACUUCAUGAACAUGGAGCAUAUUUGGUAGAUUCUUUAAUUGAAACGAAUCAAAUGAUGAAAGAUUGGGAAUGUAUGACAGACUUAUUAUUAGAAGAAGCUGGACCUGAAGAAGAAACUUUAGAUAAUCAAAAAGAAACAUCUUUGAUUGAAUUAAUGGUUUGUUGUAUAAAACAAGCUGCUACAGGUGAAGCUCCCGUUGGUCGGGGACCAACUAGAAAAAUUUUAUCAGCAAAAGAAAUGAAACAAGUUCAUGAUGAUAAACAACGGUUGACAGAACAUUUUAUACAAACACUACCUCUUUUACUUGAUAAAUAUCGAGCAGAUCCUGAAAAACUUGCAAAUUUACUUGCUAUUCCUCAAUAUUUUGAUUUAGAUAUUUAUACAAAAUCUCGACAAGAGCAAAAUUUGGAUUCAUUAUUGAAUAAAAUUCAUACAAUUGUAGAAAAAAUGCACGAUACUGAAGUUUUAGAUACAGUUGCAAAAACAUUGGAACAUAUGUGUAUAGAAGGACAUGCUAUUUUUACCAGGUGUGACGUAGCGCGAUCAACAUUAAUUGAUUCUAUUGUAAAUAAAUAUAAAGAAGCUAUAGAUGAAUACAGAAAUUUAAUAGAAGGAGAUGAAGAACCAGAUGAAGAUGAAAUUUUCAAUGUUGUACAAUCUUUAAAAAAAGUUUCAAUAUUUUACUCUUGUCAUAAUAUGAAUCCAUGGGGAAUAUGGGAUUCUUUAUAUAAAGAUAUUGAAGAUGCCAAAGAUCCAUCCAAAUGCUUACCACAUGAAGCAGUUAAAUAUUGCAUAAGUGCAUGUUUUUUUGCAAUUUUAUGGGGACAAAAUCAUCUUAUGGAAGCUGCAGAUUCUGGAAAUCGAGGAGAAGAUGAAUGUCGACAAUUAAAAGAACGUUUACAUUCUUUUAUGGGUUCUAUGCGUUAUUUUGUCAGUGGUGACGUAAAUGGCGCGCCAUUUCCACCUAUUUUGAGAGAAGAAGCAUACAAUACAAUAUGUGAUUUAUUAGUAGUAUUUUGUAAUCAAUUAACAACACAUUCUAAUCCUUUAAUGCAUCAAUUAGUAUAUGAACCUGAUCAAGCAAUGCAAAAUAUGCUUAAUCGAUUUAUAGAAGAAUAUGUAUUUUUUGAAGAAGAAGAUGAUGAACAUGAUGAACAUUCAAAAAUCGAAGAAUUACAUAAAAGAAGAAAUUUUUUAGCUGGUUAUUGUAAGUUAAUUGUAUAUAACAUGAUACCCACAAAAGCAGCAGCUGAUGUUUUUAAACAUUAUGUGAAAUAUUAUAAUGAUUAUGGUGAUAUUAUUAAAACUACAUUAGGAAAAGCAAGAGAUAUUAAUAAAACAAAUUGUGCUUUAACUAUGCAACAUAGUUUAAAUAUUUUAUAUAAUGAAAUAGUAGCAGAGAAAGGAAAAGUUAAUAGAAAUAGUGAAGAAUUUACUGCAAUUAAGGAACUUGCAAAACGAUUUGCUUUGUCAUUUGGCUUAGAUGCAGUAAAAAAUCGUGAGGCAAUUACUGCUUUACAUCGAGCAGGUGUUCUUUUUGCAAUUACACCACCAGAUGGUAUUGAACAAGAUCCUACAGGACCACCACCUAAUUUAUCUUUUCUUGAAAUUUUAUCUGAAUUUACGAAUAAACUUCUUAAACAAGAUAAAAGAGUGGUAUUAAAUUUUCUUGAUAGAAGAUUACAAGCUGGAAUGCCGUCCUCACGGGGAGAGGAUUGGCAACCUUUACUUUUAUAUAGGAACAGCUUAUUACAUGGCGAAACAGAUCAAGUUCCAGUAACAAGUAAACGUGCAUAUACAAGACGUAAAAAGGAUCAUUUAGCAGAAGAAGAAGAAGCAGAUGAGCCUGAAGAAGGUUCUGAUCAUGAAUUUUCCGGUAAAUACAAGAAGAAACGUGGUCCAAGGAAACAUCAAUUAACUGUUAAUAAAAUAUCAAUAACUCGUGGAUCUAGAGCAGCUGGCUUUUAUGAAACAAAUGAAACUACACAAAUGCAAAGUUCUCCAACAACAAUUAUUGAAGAUGCAUCAACCAGUCCUUCUCAAGACAUAGAUAAUAAACUUAAGACAUUACAAAUCCAAUCUAGAUCACGAAGAAGUCAAGAUAAUAUAGAGCCAAGAGAGUUAAGAAGAACUUCUAGGAAUUCUGGUCGUUAUGUAGAAGGACAAUAUAUGGAAUCUGAUUCCGAAUAAAAUAUGAUAAAUAAUAAUACAUUCAUUCAAGAUAAAACUAUUCUAAAAGGAAAUGAUUUGUGAUACGUUUAUAACACAUGUCAUAUUGUAUUUACAACUUGAUCCAGUUAUAUGAAGUAUCCUGAAUAUACAUAUUAUAAAAAUUACUUACUUUAAUUUCUUCUUCUGUAAAUGGUAGAGGAUGAAAUUGCAUUUCCGCUGGAUAAGAUGAUUUUAAAUGAGGUUUGCAAAGAGCAUUUCUUUUUUUCAAAAUAGAUAAUCUAUCUGUAUCAAUGCCGCAUGAAGAAUUAUCAUCUUUUAUAUCAGCU